RNAcentral lists this small nucleolar RNA (49 nucleotides) under Mus pahari (shrew mouse). Its description in RNAcentral is "snoRNA (MGP_PahariEiJ_G0034892.1)". Lineage: Eukaryota; Metazoa; Chordata; Mammalia; Rodentia; Muridae. The record is from RNAcentral.
CUGUCCCUAGAGGCAUUGUGGUGUGGCUGCUGUGUCACACAUGUGUCCU